GCUGAUAUAGUUCAGUUGGUAGAGCGCACCCUUGGUAAGGGGUGAGGUCGACGGUUAGACUCCGCCUAUUAGCACCA
RNAcentral lists this transfer RNA (77 nucleotides) under Photobacterium profundum. Its description in RNAcentral is "RNA-Thr (GGT)". It matches the Rfam family "tRNA". Rfam says of the family: Transfer RNA (tRNA) molecules are approximately 80 nucleotides in length. Their secondary structure includes four short double-helical elements and three loops (D, anti-codon, and T loops). Further hydrogen bonds mediate the characteristic L-shaped molecular structure. tRNAs have two regions of fundamental functional importance: the anti-codon, which is responsible for specific mRNA codon recognition, and the 3' end, to which the tRNAs corresponding amino acid is attached (by aminoacyl-tRNA synthetases). tRNAs cope with the degeneracy of the genetic code in two manners: having more than one tRNA (with a specific anti-codon) for a particular amino acid; and 'wobble' base-pairing, i.e. permitting non-standard base-pairing at the 3rd anti-codon position. Lineage: Bacteria; Pseudomonadati; Pseudomonadota; Gammaproteobacteria; Vibrionales; Vibrionaceae. RNAcentral also lists the same sequence under 1 other name. The record is from RNAcentral.